GAUGAACGCUGGCGGCGUGCCUAAUACAUGCAAGUCGAGCGAACGGACGAGAAGCUUGCUUCUCUGAUGUUAGCGGCGGACGGGUGAGUAACACGUGGAUAACCUACUUAUCAGACUGGGAUAACUUCGGGAAACCGGCGCUAAUACCGGAUAAUCUUUUGAACCGCAUGGUUCAAUAGUGAAAGACGGUCUUGCUGUCACUUAUAGAUGGAUCCGCGCUGCAUUAGCUAGUUGGUAAGGUAACGGCUUACCAAGGCAACGAUGCAUAGCCGACCUGAGAGGGGGAUCGGCCACACGGGAACUGGGACGCGGUCAUGGCGCCUACGGGAGGCACCAGAAGGGAAUCUUCCGCAAUGGGCGAAAGCCUGACGGAGCAACGCCGCGUGAGUGAUGAAGGUCUUCGGAUCGUAAAACUCUGUUAUUAGGGAAGAACAGAUGUGUAAGUAACUGUGCACAUCUUGACGGUACCUAAUCAGAAAGCCACGGCUAACUACGUG
Molecule: ribosomal RNA, 497 nt
Filed under: uncultured bacterium
Lineage: Bacteria
Description: partial 16S ribosomal RNA
Rfam family: Bacterial small subunit ribosomal RNA
Source: RNAcentral